This 253-nucleotide ribosomal RNA is filed under the name uncultured bacterium. Its description in RNAcentral is "partial 16S ribosomal RNA". It matches the Rfam family "Bacterial small subunit ribosomal RNA", at positions 524 to 776 of the family's 1533-position model. The record is from RNAcentral.
UACGUAGGGUCCGAGCGUUGUCCGGAAUUACUGGGCGUAAAGCGUGCGCAGGCGGCUUUCCAAGCGCCACGUGAAAGCCCCGGGCUCAACCCGGGAGGGUCGUGGCGAACUGGGAGGCUUGAGGCCGGUAGAGGUGGGUGGAACUCCUGGUGGAGUGGUGAAAUGCGUAGAGAUCAGGAAGAACACCAAAGGCGAAGGCAGUGUCCUGGGGAGUACCUGACGCUCAGGUGCGAAAGCCAGGGGAGCGAACGGG